RNAcentral lists this ribosomal RNA (460 nucleotides) under uncultured bacterium. RNAcentral's name for it is "partial 16S ribosomal RNA". It matches the Rfam family "Bacterial small subunit ribosomal RNA", at positions 338 to 795 of the family's 1533-position model. The record is from RNAcentral.
CCUACGGGUGGCAGCAGUGAGGAAUAUUGGUCAAUGGACGAGAGUCUGAACCAGCCAAGCAGCGUGAAGGAUGACUGCUCUAUGGGUUGUAAACUUCUUUUAUAAAGGAAUAAAACGAGGCACGUGUGCCUUUAUGCAUGUACUUUAUGAAUACGGAUCGGCUAACUCCGUGCCAGCAGCCGCGGUAAUACGGAGGAUCCGAGCGUUAUCCGGAUUUAUUGGGUUUAAAGGGAGCGUAGAUGGGUUGUUAAGUCAGUUGUGAAAGUUUACGGCUCAACCGUAAAAUUGCAAUUGAUACUGGCAGUCUUGAGUACAGUUGAGGUAGGUGGAAUUCGUGGUGUAGCGGUGAAAUGCUUAGAUAUCACGAAGAACCCCGAUUGCGAAGGCAGCUUACUAGACUGUAACUGACGUUGAUGCUCGAAAGUGUGGGUAGCAAACAGGAUUAGAUACCCGGGUAGUC